AUUGAACGCUGGCGGCAUGCCUUACACAUGCAAGUCGAACGGUAACAGGUUAAGCUGACGAGUGGCGAACGGGUGAGUAAUGUAUCGGAACGUGCCCAGUCGUGGGGUAUAACUGCUCGAAAGAGCAGCUAAUACCGCAUACGACCUGAGGGUGAAAGCGGGGGAUCGCAAGACCUCGCGCGAUUGGAGCGGCCGAUAUCAGUUUAGGUAGUUGGGUGGGUAAAGGCUCACCAAGCCGACGAACUGUAGCUGGUCUGAGAAGGCGACCAGCCACACUGGGACUAGGGCACCGCCCAGAGCCCUACGGGAGGCAGCGGUGGGGAAUUUUGGACAAUGGGCGCAAGCCUGAUCCAGCCAUGCCGCGUGCGGGAAGAAGGCCUUCGGGUUGUAAACCGCUUUUGUCAGGGAAGAAAAGGUUCUGGCUAAUACCUGGGACUCAUGACGGUACCUGAAGAAUAAGCACCGGCUAACUACGUG
Molecule: ribosomal RNA, 477 nt
Filed under: uncultured bacterium
Lineage: Bacteria
Description: partial 16S ribosomal RNA
Rfam family: Bacterial small subunit ribosomal RNA
Source: RNAcentral